GCGGUUGGAGCAUGUGGUUUAAUUCGAAGCAACGCGAAGAACCUUACCAGGUCUUGACAUCCUCUGACAAUCCUAGAGAUAGGACGUCCCCUUCGGGGGCAGAGUGACAGGUGGUGCAUGGUUGUCGUCAGCUCGUGUCGUGAGAUGUUGGGUUAAGUCCCGCAACGAGCGCAACCCUUGAUCUUAGUUGCCAGCAUUCAGU
RNAcentral lists this ribosomal RNA (202 nucleotides) under Bacillus subtilis. Its description in RNAcentral is "partial 16S ribosomal RNA". It matches the Rfam family "Bacterial small subunit ribosomal RNA", at positions 931 to 1129 of the family's 1533-position model. Lineage: Bacteria; Bacillati; Bacillota; Bacilli; Caryophanales; Bacillaceae. The record is from RNAcentral.